GGUUUCGAGCUAGGCCUCUGGGUCACCUCCCACCCGUGUUUAUUUUACCUUGUUGCUUCGGCGAGCCUGCCUUUUGGCUGCCGGGGGACGUCUGUCCCCGGGUCCGCGCUCGCCGAAGACACCUUAGAACUCUGUCUGAAGAUUGUAGUCUGAGAUUAAAUAUAAAUUAUUUAAAACUUUCAACAACGGAUCUCUUGGUUCCGGCAUCGAUGAAGAACGCAGCGAAAUGCGAUACGUAAUGUGAAUUGCAGAAUUCAGUGAAUCAUCGAGUCUUUGAACGCACAUUGCGCCCUCUGGUAUUCCGGAGGGCAUGCCUGUCCGAGCGUCAUUGCUGCCCUCAAGCACGGCUUGUGUGUUGGGCUCCGUCCUCCUUCCGGGGGACGGGCCCGAAAGGCAGCGGCGGCACCGCGUCCGGUCCUCAAGCGUAUGGGGCUUUGUCACCCGCUUUGUAGGACUGGCCGGCGCCUGCCGAUCAACCAAACUUUUUUCCAGGUUGACCUCGGAUCAGGUAGGGAUACCCGCUGAACUUAAGCAUAUCAAUAAGCGGAGGAA
RNAcentral lists this ribosomal RNA (552 nucleotides) under Penicillium brevicompactum. RNAcentral's name for it is "eukaryotic LSU rRNA". The stretch from base 175 to 328 matches the Rfam family "5.8S ribosomal RNA". Lineage: Eukaryota; Fungi; Ascomycota; Eurotiomycetes; Eurotiales; Aspergillaceae. The record is from RNAcentral.